This 89-nucleotide ribosomal RNA is filed under the name Sulfurovum sp. Its description in RNAcentral is "partial 23S ribosomal RNA". It matches the Rfam family "Bacterial large subunit ribosomal RNA", at positions 2837 to 2925 of the family's 2925-position model. The record is from RNAcentral. Lineage: Bacteria; Pseudomonadati; Campylobacterota; Epsilonproteobacteria; Campylobacterales; Sulfurovaceae.
CUCGAAGACUACGAGGUUGAUAGGCUGGGUGUGUAAGCGUUGUAAGGCGUUUAGCUGACCAGUACUAAUAGGUCGUUCGUUUUUAUUCU